CAAACUGGGAUUAGAUACCCCACUAUGCUUAGUAGUAAACCCAGGCAGUUUACCAAACCCACUGCCCGCCAGAGAACUACAAGUGAAAAACUUAAAACUCAAAGGACUUGACGGUGUUCCACAUCACCCUAGAGGAGCCUGUCCAAUAAUCGAUAACCCACGUUAUACCUCACCUGCUCUUGCAAUACUCAGCCUAUAUACCGCCGCCUUAGCCCACCUUACAAAAGAACUUACAAUGGGCAAAAUAGCCUCAUCACUAAAACGCCAGGUCAAGGUGUAGCUCACGCGCAGGAUGAGAUGGGCUACAUUUUCUACCCCAGAAAAUACCAUCAGUACUAUGAAAUCAGUACUACAAGGAGGAUUUAGCAGUAAGCUGUGCAAACUCGCCCAACUGAACGACGCCCUGGAUCACGUACACACCGCCCGUCACCUU
This 433-nucleotide ribosomal RNA is filed under the name Hemidactylus scabriceps (Scaly gecko). Its description in RNAcentral is "partial 12S ribosomal RNA". It matches the Rfam family "Bacterial small subunit ribosomal RNA", at positions 768 to 1403 of the family's 1533-position model. The record is from RNAcentral. Lineage: Eukaryota; Metazoa; Chordata; Lepidosauria; Squamata; Gekkonidae.